Molecule: unclassified non-coding RNA, 3305 nt
Filed under: Ixodes scapularis (black-legged tick)
Lineage: Eukaryota; Metazoa; Arthropoda; Arachnida; Ixodida; Ixodidae
Description: ubiquitin-conjugating enzyme E2Q-like protein 1, transcript variant X4
Source: RNAcentral
GAGGGGGCGCCGCUGUCGCCGCAGCAGCGCCGCGCUGCGGACGGCGCAGUCGAGGCUGCGAUCGUCCGCUUUGCCGUGCUGCCCGGUUCUCGACAGAGUGCGGCGCCGCGCUACGGUUCCGCGGCCGCUUUGCUGCCCGGAGGUGAAGCGAGGGAAUUCAGCGGUCGGUUCGUCCCGAACUCGAGGCCAGAGACCCAGAACAGGCUGCUCAAAUCAGCGGAGUCAUCGCGACGCGCGAAGCUACGCUGGAAGCGGCCAAUUGGAGAGGCGUCCCCGAUGGCCAGCAACCUGGCACCAGGGCUGAAAGAACCCUAACGGCCAUGCUUCGGUGACGUUCCCCGUGCGAGCACUUCCGCCUACUUCCUCCCCAGCCUCCCGGAUCCCCGUCCCGGCCCUUCCGGCCCUUCCGGCCCUUCCGGCCCUUCCGGCCCUUCCGGCCCUCCCGGCCCCCUCGUAGCCCAGCGUAGCCGGAGCGUCGUGGGCCAGCGACUCGAAGACCCGCGCGUUCGGGAGGUCCACAUCGGGUAGCACUCUACGCACACCAUCCAGGCGAUGGCGGCUUCGGCGCUGAAAAAGCUGUUCCGCACCGACCGGCACCGGCUGAGUACGUCCGGUAACAGCCACAACAGCCACAACGAUCUCGGUCCCAAAAAGAAGAAGGAGAGCGGCGAGGGCGGGAGCCGAGCCCGGCUGCUGGGUCUCUGCGCGGGUGCGGGGAAGGCAGGCCACGCGGCUCAGGGCCAGGGAGGCCAGGGCAGUGCGGCGGCCGAGACGGCGGGCUCCGCCGAGGCGCCGACGGCCAAGGCGACGCCGGGACCCAAGGCGUCCAAGGCGACGGGUUCCUCGAGCGCCGGUGCGUCGUCGCGGGCCCUGACGCUGGCACGCAGUCCCCGGCACCGGGUGGCGCCGUGCUCCCAGCAGGCGGCCGUGCGUGCCCGCCGGCUCAUGCGCGAGUUCCACGAGAUCCGGCGCCAGCAGGGCCGCGGCCAGGCGCCCUCUUUCACCGUGGACCUGGUCGACGACAACCUGUACGAGUGGCACGUGCGCCUCUACCAGGUGGAUCCGGAAAGCCCGCUGUGGCGAGACAUGCAGGACUGCGGCGUGUCCUGCGUCCAGCUUAGCGUCUCGUUCCCGGACAACUUCCCGUUCGCGCCGCCGUUCGUGCGCGUGCUGGCACCGCACAUUGAGCGCGGCUUCGUCAUGGAAGGCGGCGCCAUCUGCAUGGAGCUGCUGACGCCGCGAGGCUGGGCGUCCGCCUACACUGUCGAGGCCAUCCUGGUCCAGGUGGCUGCGUCGCUUUCUAAGGGCCAGGCUCGCAUCGCCACAAAGCCAGGGAAGCAGUUCAACCGGAAGUUGGCCGAGUCCUCUUUCCGGAGCCUGGUCAAGACUCACGACAAGUACGGCUGGGUGACGCCUCCCCUGGCCGACGGCUAGGCUCUCCCGCACGAGCGUGCCGGUGGGCGGUUGCCAUACGAGGAACUGCGCUGGACGCUGGCCGACGGUGAACAGUGAGGAUUAAUGGGUGCUAGUCAGGACAUUUCCAGCAAGCUGCUUCUGUUUUUCUUGCAUUUACGUGAUCGUGUAUGACUCAUUCAUUGCGACUCAAGCCCCAUCAUUCACCGAGCAACAUCGUCGCGGUGUGUCCCCCUCAAGCGCGUUGCGUCUUCCUUGGCGGUGACUUUGCUCUAGGUGCUAUUUUUCUCUUUGACAACGCGGCUUCAUGUUUGCGGGUCUGUAUGUAUGUGCGUCUCGGAAGGAAAGAAAAAAAAAAAAAAAACCUCCACGGUUUCACGAAGGAUAGUGUGUCGAUUGUUUCUUGUUAAGUCUGCUUCUAAAAUGUCCAGACAGGAUUCGGGAAUUCUACGCGGGGUUUGAGGAUAUUUCUGAAAGGACGUGAUUCCGAUUGUUGUGUUACGUAUUUACGCGGGAACCAAGCGGCAAGUCGAUCUACGCAUUACCGCGAAGACGAAAGAGGGGAUCACGUACAUUACCGCCAGGUGGUCGGCUGUUGCUUUACUGCUGAAUUUUAUUUGUCGGUAUUUCGUAAACGGUAAUGCGUGUUUUCACGGCAGUUUCUAGUUAAUAACAAAUUUAGAAAAAGAAAAAUUGUUAGAACUUAAUGCGUUAGUAUAAUACAGGUUAAUGCAUCACGUCAACUCCACAUUUUAUGAGCUCGCCAUACUCGCCAUGUGAGUAUGGCGAGUAUGUUCGUUGAAUCUCCCGAAGGCUCUUUCUAAAAUAUGACACGUGUAAAUAUUUUCUUUUUUUCUUUUUGGCGAGACGACAAGGAGGUCGAACUUUCGGGAACGAGUUUCGUGGUCACGAGCUGAUCACGGACGUUACCGUUUGAGGGGAAGCAACCGCGGCUUACAGCAUGCUUCGCUCAUCUCCAUUCACAACUGUAACCGGAAUUUUUCGCUUUAAGUAUACCGACAUAACCCGCGUUUUUUUUUUUUUUCUUGAAGUUUUUUUAUAUCACGGUGACUCGGGACCGUAAAGAGGAUGCGGCAAAAUUUACCGCGACUCAUUUCUCUUCACAUUUGCGGUCACGCAGUUAGUGAUAUAUUGCGAAUCCGCCGCCAAGUCCUGCUCCUUUUCCCUCUCCAUAUCGUACCACGUGUAAUUAUUCUGCAGCGAUUCUAAACCUGCCCAUAACACUUCUUUAAAAAAUAAAAACUUACUGAGGCAUUGUAGAAGUGUCAUGCUCCCGUCGUUAGCUCCGUUUGAGGCAGCUAUCCCACGGACCUUUUCCUGCCUAGAUCUUUACAGUAACGUCCAGUAAUGUAUACUACAUGAGAAUGACGGUACAGAAUGAUCCACGUUUGCUCAACGCCAAGUAUUCGAGCCUCGGCUGUUUUCCGACGCGAAUGCCUCUUGUUUCUUUCCUCCACUCCUCUCUCAAGUUCGUGCGGGCAAACGAAUUUUAUCCCAUCUGAACUUGGGCGCCGCCCGCGUCUGUGGUUGACGAAUCACUACUGCUCACGCCAGCGAAGCGAAAGAGACACCCACCCCGUUGAAAUGACAAGCUUGUCGUGCCACUGUGUUCCUCCCCUCCCGACCGAAUCCCCGCCUGGCAUUCCCCGUUCGGGAAGGCGAGCACGUGGCCCUUUGCUGCGCGUUCGCGGCCAAUGCCGUCCUUUUGUGAAUACAGACGAUUGUUUCGCGAAAUGAUCUUUCAUCGAAUGAAUCCCUGCUCUGUACAUACAUAAAAGACGAGUUGCGUGUGCCGCGCACUUGCGGUGUUCAUUAAUGUGCGUCCGUGUGUCUCUCGAAUGUUCGGAUAAUAAAGAUUAUUCGUUACUUAA